GUAUUGUUCUCAGUGAAAAAUUUCUAUUCUUUGUGAUAAAAAUCAAAUGUACUAAUCAAAAGCUUCAAAAUAGUAUAAAAGAAUUGAAGUCUUAGUGACUUUGAUUUCCCUUGCUAUCUUCAGUAUAGGGAAAACGGUACUAUUUAUUCUGCCAUAGGCGACAAUAUUAACAUUUUCUAAAUUUACAACUUUUUAAGAUAAAAACCUGGAUAAAACAGUUAUAUGUUGUGUUAGUACUUUAUUAUUGUGUUUUAAAAAUUAAAGCCAAAUAGUAUCAUGACCAACUUCCAACGGAGCUUGUUUAUGUUAUCCAUGCCCACCGUCAUUUUGCACCAAAUUUAUGAAAUUUUGCAAGUCUUUUCAAAUAAUUCUCUAGAAAAUAUUUCAAUAGGUUUCAAAAUUUAUGUUGUAAAUAUAUACACUGCAGUUAUUCAUAGAUAAAUAAAAAAUAUAUUGUACCCUUACAUCCAAUCACAGCGCUCCUAAUUUGACUUCCUUCACCUGCCUUGGGUACACAAAAGGCCAACCUAAUGCUGGGAAAAUUAAAUACUACCGUUUUCCCU
Molecule: long non-coding RNA, 563 nt
Filed under: Mytilus galloprovincialis (Mediterranean mussel)
Lineage: Eukaryota; Metazoa; Mollusca; Bivalvia; Mytilida; Mytilidae
Source: RNAcentral